This is an RNA transcript of Phyllopteryx taeniolatus (common seadragon), 12297 nucleotides long. It is a transcript of the gene named SMG1 nonsense mediated mRNA decay associated PI3K related kinase, with no coding region annotated. The record is from RefSeq and is a predicted model, not a curated record. The transcript has 64 exons. NCBI's taxonomy places the organism in Eukaryota, Metazoa, Chordata, Actinopteri, Syngnathiformes, Syngnathidae.
GCGUCUUCCAGCACGAAGAAGGCUAACCAAACACACAACCUCAAGCUAACUGUAACAACGAGUUGCGAUACUUGACAUUAUCAGAAAGUGAAACAUAAGCCCGAAGUAUUCGGUAAACGUUACCGCUGCAAGCGGGCCAUGCAGCUCCCCAGAAGGUAAUGAGCCGGAAAGCCUCGAGGUCUCGGCUCAGCGGUGCCCACAAACUGCAGCAGCCACACCGGAAUGACUGGCAGCCCAGAGUUGAUAGUGUGUCAUUCAUCGAGGACGGAGUGAGGUCCAGAGAGCUCGGUUCGGCAGCAUUUCCUGACACAUUGCCCUUCAGCUUGGCUGAGCAGCCUGUGGUGCCCAGCGAUGCCUAUGCUGCUGCAGAUGCACUUCUGGAAGAGGGUGGAUAUGAAGCUGGUCAAGGUGUCUGUGAUACUACUUUUGGUUGGAAGUCGCUGGGGCAAGAGUUGAGGCCAAAUGACGUGACGGCGGAUUUAAACUCUUUUCAGCAUGGAAACCGUGCUUUAGCUUCAAAGGACAUGAGGAAAUCGCAGGACAGAGGGAUGGCUCACUCCGAUGAGUCUCGGUUGGCCAACCUCCUGCGCCGAGUCUCAAGGGAGGAUGAUCGUGAUCGACGGUUGACCACCCUCAAGCAGUUAAAGGAAUUCUUCAGUCACAAUGAGAACAAAGUGAACUUGGUCAAACAGUUGGAAACCAUCCUCAGCACCUUGAAUGAUAUUUUGAAUGAGAGUAGUAAGCUGCUCUGGGAGUUGCGUCAGGAUGCAGCAGCCUGCUUGGGUCUGCUCUGCACUGUGCUCAGCUAUGAGGCAGAGCGCAUCUUCAAGUGGAUUUUCCUCAAGUUUGCUUCAAGCAAUCGUGACGAGGUGAAGCUGUUGUACCUGUUAGCAACACAGCGUGCUUUGGAGGCCGCGGGGGAGAGAAAGACCUUCACUCAAGUCAUGCAGCUGGUGAUGAGCAAUCUCCAGUCAAUCUUGGAGAAUGUGGACACUCCAGAGCUGCUUUGUCAAAGUGUGAAGUGUAUUCUUCAGGUGGCUCGCUGCUACCCACACGUCUUCAGCACCAAUUUCAGGGACACAGUGGAUAUCUUGGUGGGCUGGCACAUUGAUCAUACUCAGCAGCACUCACUCACUCAGCAGGUGUCAGCCUGGCUACAGAGUCUGGAGCAAUUCUGGGUGGCAGAUUUGACUUUUUCCACCACUCUGCUGGGACAGUUCUUGGAGGAUAUGGAAGCAUAUGCAGAGGAUCUGAGCCAUGUUGCGUCAGGUGAGGUGCCGGAUGAAGACAUCCCACCUCCUGCAGUGUCUCUACCAAAACUGGCAGCUCUUCUGAGGGUGUUCAGUACAGUAGUUCGUAGUAUCGGCGAGCUUUUCAGCCCCAUCAGAGGACCACCCAUCACUGAAGUCUAUGUCACUGAUAUUCUUAACCGGGUUCUGGCAUGUGUGACCACAGCCAAGCAGGUCCAGUUCUCUGAGGCAGUUCUAACUGCAGGGAAUGAGUGUGUGGGUGUGUUGCUGGCCAGCAUGGAGCCCUGUGGACAACUAAUGGAGACAGUCUUAGCCUAUGGCUUGGACCAGUUGGACUGCUGCCGUGCUUGUGGUUCAGACUACAACCUAGCAGCACUCAGCCUUCUCACUCUGAUUGUGGAACAGAUCAACACAAAGCUGCCUGCGUCCUUUGUGGAGAAAUUAUUAGCACCAGACUCGCAGCUGCUGGAAUUGCGUUCCCAUCGAGAGAAAGAGGUGGUGGCGAAUGUACAUGGGGUGUACCAGGCACUCCUGAGUCUGAAAAACAUUCCCACACUGGAGGCUGCUUAUAAAUUGGUAUUGGGAGAGAUGGCGUGUGCCUUGUCCAGCAUUCUGGCAACCCUGAAGCUGACUAGUGGAAUUGAGCCACCCGAUAUCCGCUGCCUCAGCAUCCAGCACCCUGCUUUCGCUUCAGUCACCCUCAACCCAGAGAAGGCACAGUUCAUCCUCAUCUUCAAUCUCAGCACCCUCACUACCAUUGGGAACACCAAGAACUCGCUCAUUGGGAUGUGGGCUUUGUCUCCUACCGUCUUUGCCCUGCUCAAUCAUACGUUGAUGCUGGUGCACUCUGAGUUAGCAGUCUACUACCCUGCCGUCCAGUAUGCUGUGCUUUACACCCUCUAUUCCCACUGCACCAGACAUGAUCAUUUCAUCUCAUCCAGCUUGUCGUCAUCUUCCCCAUCCCUGUUUGACGGUGCGGUCAUUAGCACUGUCACAACAGCUACAAAGAAACAUUUCAGCACUCUGCUAAACCUUCUGGGAGGGCUGCUGGUGAAGGAACAUCUGUACCCUGAAGCCAGGAGGCUGCUGCUGACGUGGGCUCAAGAGAUCUCACUGCUGAUGAAGAAGUCAGACACCUACAGCCCUCUCUUCUCCUUGCCUUCCUUCAACAAGUUCUGUCGCGGCCUGCUUUCCAAUGCCCUGAAUGAAGAUCAGCGUAUCUGCCUUCAGACCUGCAACAGUUUACUUAUUCUCUCUUCAUCUUUAUCUGUGGAACUUCUGCAGAGGUGUGUGGAUGUGUGCAGAGUCCAGCUGGUCCACUCAGCAGUGAGAGUGAGGCAGGCCUAUAGCAAGCUCCUUAGGACAAUCCCCCUGGAUGUUUCCUUAAGUAACCACAGCCGCCCAGAGAUGACUCAGAUCUCAUUGGCCAUCCGCCAGCACAUGAGUCGAGCACCAAGCAGCACCUUGCACCCCCAGGACUUCAGUGACCUCAUCAGCUUCAUUUUAUAUGGAGCCCUGCACCGUGGAGGCAAGGAUCCAUGGUUGGAGCGACUUCAUUACAGCUGCCAGCGCCUCGAGAAACGGGAUGGCCGGGGUGGUGCUGAUGGCAUGCGUCCCGGUGUCGUGCCCAGGGCUCUGUUAAAAACUGAAGUGGUGCUGUGGCAGUGGGCAGUGUGGGAAGCUGCACAGUUCACUGUCCUGUCCAAACUCCGAACUCCACUUGGCCGAGCUCAAGACACGUUCCAGACCAUUGAAGGUAUGAUCCGCAGCCUGGCAGCACACAGCCUAAACCCAGAGCAGGAUGUUGGACCAUGGGCUGGUGCUGGAAGUGACGGAGAUGGUCACCAUUCCAAUCAGCUCCGGAUCACUCUACUGCUUCAGUAUCUUGAGAACCUGGAGAAGCUUAUGUAUAACGCGUAUGAGGGCUGUGCUAAUGCGCUCACUGCCCCACCAAAGGGUAUCAGGACAUUCUUCUACACUAAUCGUCAGACGUGCCAAGACUGGCUGACAAGGAUCCGCCUUUCACUGAUGAGGGUUGGUCUCCUGUCUGGCCAGCCAGCAGUGACCAUACGUCACGGCUUUGAUCUUCUUGCUGAGAUUAAAAACAGCAACACCCAGGGUCCAGAAUUAGAGGUUCCUCUAACAUUAUUGGCAGAAGCUCUUUGCGAGCUGCGUUGUCCUGAUGCUAUCCAAGGACUUGCUGUCUGGAGCCUCUCUAACACUGGCAAGAGUCUCAGCUGGUUGUCCUCCGUUGCUUUACAAGCAGAGGGACGGUUUGAGAAAGCAGCUCUGGACUACCAAGAUCAGCUGUCUGCAGUUUCCGGGAUGGACUGCAGCAUCAAAAGCUCUGACUGUUACCUGCUUAAACUCACCAGUAAUACCAGCAGCCCCAAACAUACAAGCAAUGGUGAAAGCAGGAAAACUGUGUUGCUGAAGUCAAAUGAGUGCUCUCCUGAGGCGGUCAACCUCCUGGCCAACAAAGCAUGUCAGUGCUUUGUGGCACUUUGUGAUUGGCCCUCAGUCAAGGAAUGGCAGUCCACUGUUCAUGCUCUGAAACAGAAUUCUCCCAGUCUACUCAGCAUCAACCUAAGGGCUGAUUUCAACUACAUUCAGGCCCUAAGCCGCUUUGAGGAUGGAGAUUUCACUGAAUGUGGUGCUCAGCUGGAACUUCUCCCUGGAGAAGACUUCAGCUCACUUUCCAGUAACAAGGACAAGAUGGAUCUGAAGAGGCUUCUGCCCUCAUUGAGUCCUGAUCCAACAGAACUUCAGAGAGCCAUUGAGGUACAGCUCCUCCGUACUGCUGUUAGUGCCCUAGCAAAAGCCAGUCAGCCAACAGAGCAAAGGGCCACAGCCAAUCAAGAUACAUUGGUGCGAUGUCUGAAACAAACUGGACGGAUCUGUCUGGGUCCUCUUCGCCUGUCAACACUGACCCUCUCUGAUGCCUUGCCCACCCUUUCCACUUUGCAGCUCCAUUGUAUUGCCACUCUGGAGAACACUCUUUCAGGACAAGAGGACUAUGUGGUUCCUUUGAACAGUGAGACUCUGAGCUCAUGUAAACAACAGGAUGUUCAGCCUUUCCUUCAAGCCCUCAGAUACACCAUGUUCCAGAGACAACUCCUCAACAAACUGAGAGGUUCGUCUCCAACCACAGAUGCCCACCUGAUGGAACUUUGUUUGACCACUGUAAAGUUUGCUCGAAAAAAAGGCAACAUUGCCCUGGCAUCCCGCUUGCUCAGCCAGUGUUGCGAUGGAACCCAAGACAAGGAGCAGGGCGAUGAACUAAUAAAGGCCUUCCGGCGCCUCAAUGUGGAAGGCACACUGGGAGAGAAGUGGGGACCAGAGCUGCAGAUAGAAAAAGCCAAAGUAGUGAGGACUUCAGGCCAGUCCAUCACAGCGAUGGAAAUGCUGAGCAGGGCUGCUCUGUCAUAUUGCUAUGUGGGGAAGAAUGAAGGUGCUGCCUGUCGCUCACUGCUCACGCUUUGCAAAUGGCUGUUAGCCGACUGGAAGGACAUGAUACCCCAGCUUAAACAGGUUGUAAAGAUGUCAGGGGCAGUAAACUCAUCCAAUGCGGUGAGCAACAUGUCACCUUUGUGUCAGAACAUUUCUGCUCUGCUGGAGCUUCCUCUCGUGGAACUGAGCAUUCCCCACAUUACCACUGAGACUUCAGUGAGUGUUGGUGUCGGGGAGCCAGACUUUGUGCUCGGUCAACUCUACCAGCUCUCCACGAGCUUGGCCCCAGAGGUAGCAAAGUCCUGGGCAGCACUGGCCAGCUGGGCGUACCGCUGGGGUAGGAAGGUUGUUGAUAAUGCCAGCCAAGGUGAGGGAUUGCCUCUUCUUUCUGGAGAAAAGAAGGAUAUUGAGGAACUUCUCCCUGCAACUACAAGUGAAGAAGACAAAGAAACCAUUUUUAGCAUUCUUGGUCAAGCCAUGUGUCGACCAACUGGCAUACAGGAUGAGGAUAUGGCGCUCCAGCAGGAAGAUGACGAGGAUGACAUGGUGGAUGUGAUAUGGCGACAGCUAACAGCUUCCUGCCCCUGGUUAGCAAAGGCCGGCCAACCUGUUGCAGAUGGACUGAUACGGGUUUGGAGACGUGUGGUGGACCGAAUAUUUGGCCUAUACCGGAUCUCUUGCCAAGCAUAUUUCACAUUCUUGAAGCUCAAUGCGGGCCAGGUCCCUAUCGAUGAGGACGACCCAAAACUCUUACUGUCCUGUCAUAACAGCAAACAGAGUAAUGAUGACGUGAUAGUCAUGGCAACCCUUCGUCUCCUCCGUCUGUUGGUCAAGCAUGCUGGGGAACUGAGGGAAGGGCUUGAGCUAGGUUUAGCGUCCACCCCGACAGCACCUUGGAGGGGUAUCACGCCACAACUUUUUUCACGUCUUAAUCAUCCAGAAGCAUACAUACGACAAAGCAUAUGCAGCUUGCUCUGCCGAGUGGCCCAGGACUCCCCACAUCUCAUCCUUUACCCUGCCAUUGUGGGUUCACUCUCUUUUGGAGGGGAUGCUCAAAAUUCAGGGAGCAAACUGCCAUCAGCUUUGCCCACAUUUUUGGGGAGCAUCCAAGUGGAGGGCCUUGGUGGGGAGGAGGAGGAGCAGCCAGAGAGUGGUGACAAAGGAGACACUCCAGAAGAGCUGGCAACAUUCUGCUCCAGUCAAGACCAAGCCAUGAUGCAGGAUUGUUACAGCAAGAUAGUGGAGAAGCUGUCUUUAGCCAACCCAACCAUGGUGCUUCAGGUCCAACAGUUAGUCGGUGAGCUGCGCAGGGUGACGUUACUCUGGGAUGAAUUGUGGCUAGGUGUGUUGCAGCAGCAGCACAUGCAUGUCCUGCGCAGGAUCCAACAGCUGGAGGACGAGGUUAAGAGGGUUCAGAACAAUAACACGCUCCGCAGGGAUGAGAAGAUAGCGAUAAUGCGUGAGAAGCACUCUGCUCUGAUGCGGCCUGUGGUUUUUGCCCUGGAACAUGUCUGCAGCAUCACAUCGGCCCCUGCGGAGACACCUCACGAGACCUGGUUCCAGCAAACCUAUGGCGAUGCUAUAAAGUCUGCCCUCGAGCGACUGACGAACCCCCACAACCCUGCCAACCCUGCCAGCAGCUGGCUCCCAUUCAAACAGAUUAUGUUAAGCCUGCAGCAGCGUGCUCAGAAGCGAGCCAGCUAUCUUCUCCAUUUGGAUGAGAUCAGUCCACACCUGGCAUCUCUGACUGCAACAGAAAUGGCCCUGCCAGGUGUGGUGUCAGCAUCAGACACUGUCACCAUUCAGAGCAUUGGCAAAUCCAUCACCAUUCUCCCCACCAAGACCAAGCCAAAGAAGCUUUUUUUCCAGGGCUCUGAUGGUCACAACUACCCAUACCUUUUCAAAGGUCUUGAGGAUUUACACUUGGAUGAGCGCAUCAUGCAGUUCUUAUCGAUUGUAAAUACAAUGUUCACCAAGAUCAACCAACAAGAGCAGCCACGCUUCCAUGCUCGCCAUUAUUCUGUCACACCCCUUGGAACACGAUCGGGACUGAUCCAGUGGGUUGAUGGAGCCACGCCCCUCUUUGGCCUAUACAAGCGCUGGCAGCAGAGGGAGGCUGUGCUGCAGGCUCAGAAGGCCCAAGACUCAUUCCAGCAGCAGCCAGUGCCUCUUGUACCACGCCCAAGUGAGCUCUAUUACAGUCGCAUUGGUCCUGCCCUGAAAGCGGUUGGGCUCAGUCUGGACGUAACACGGCGAGAUUGGCCCCUCAGUGUCAUGAAGGAGGUGCUGAAAGAAUUGAUGGAGGCCACGCCUUCCAAUUUACUGGCCAAGGAGCUGUGGUGUUCAUGUACCACACCUAGUGAAUGGUGGAGGGUCACUCAGUCAUAUGCCAGAUCCACUGCUGUCAUGUCAAUGGUGGGAUACAUAAUUGGCCUUGGAGACAGACACCUUGACAAUGUGCUUAUUGACAUGACCACUGGAGAGGUUGUACACAUUGAUUACAAUGUCUGUUUUGAAAAAGGAAAGAGCCUAAGAGUCCCAGAGAAGGUUCCAUUCAGAAUGACACACAAUAUUGAGAGUGCGCUGGGAGUUACUGGGGUGGAGGGCAUCUUCAGGCUUUCUUGUGAACAGGUUGUUCAAAUGAUGCGCCGAGGCAGAGAAACACUUUUGACCCUGCUGGAGGCCUUCGUCUAUGAUCCCCUGGUGGAUUGGACUGCUGGGGGGGAGGUGGGCUUUGCCGGUGCAGUGUAUGGAGGAGGGGGCCAACAGGCUGACAGCAAGCAGAGUAAGAGGGAGAUGGAGAGAGAAAUCACACGCUCCCUCUACUCCUCGAGAGUCGCAGAGAUUAAGGUCAACUGGUUUAAGAAUCGUGAUGAAAUGCUGGCUGUCCUGCCACAAGUGGAAGAGGCUGUGGAUGAGUACUUGGUCCUCCAGGAUCUGCUCUGCCAGGGAGAGAAACUACAGGCCAAGCUUCAGGAGGAGGUAGCCUUCCUGGAAGGAGCAGAGAACCAACCAGAGCAUCGAAUUGUCACUCUGGAGCAAAGAUACUCUGAACACACCCAGCUGCAAUCGCGACAGAGGACUGUGCAAGAGGCCAUUCAAAGUAAGCUGGCUGACCUGGAUCAAUGGAUUUCGCAGUACCAGGCGGCAUUUUCCAACCUGGAGACAACUCAGCUGGCUGCUCUGCUGCAGGACAUCAGUACCCCCAUAGAUCUGGGUCCUCCCAGCUAUGUGCCAGCUACAGCCUUUUUGCAGAAUGCAGGCCAGGCCCAUCUGAUCAGCCAGUGUGAAAGCCUGGAGGCAGAGGUGAGCUCCUUGCUGCAGCAGCGCCGUGGGGCCCUUCGUAUUUGCUUGGAGCAGCUGCAUAGCUACGCGACAGUUGCUUUGCUCUACCCACGAACCAACAUGCUGCGCCAUCGAACCCACCAGUGGAAGGCCUGGUUGGAAGAAAUGCUGAGAGUCAUGUCAGUUGAUCACUGCCAGCAUAUCUACAGACAAUAUGAGGUGCUCUUUGCCCCUCAGUCCAAUGCAGCCACCUGCCAGUUCAUGUCCAAUGUAGAAUUGGCUCUGCAGCGCCAAGUGGCUGACACCAAUGAGCGCGUGAUGCACCAAGCUGAGCGACUGAAAGCUGAAGGCACAACUGCAGCAGCCUGUGAGGAGCAGUUGAAGGAAAUUGAGCACUGCAUUGGGGUCUUCCUGCGAGAAAACGGAGAGUCAGGCUCACUCAGUCUUGCUGGGAUAAUCACCUCUGCCCUUGGCUCACUCUGCAGGCGCAACCUUGUGAUGGAGAGUGCAGCAGCCAGUGCUGGAGAGCAGCUGGUAGAUCUUAUGUCCCGAGAUGGAGCAUGGUUCCUAGAGGAGCUCUGCAGCAUGAUUGGAAACGUCAGUGCCUUGGCAACACUAUUGCAACGCUGCCCCCUCCUGCCUAAUGAUCUGGAGCUUCCAUCACCCUCCGCCACCAUUCAGGCAGUUUACCUGGCCAAUUCUGUGUAUACCUGCUUGCAGGAACUGAACACCAAUUUCCGUCAGAUCAUCUUUCCUGAGGCUCUGCGAUGUAUGGUGAAAGGAGAGCCCACCCUGGAGUCCAUGUUGUCAGAAUUGGAGCAGCUGGUGGAGCAGAGCUCUGAUGGUCUUGGCUUGCAGGGCUUGGUUGACAAUCUGAUGGCUACCACAGAGCUAGACCACGGUGGACACAACCAAUGUCUGGACAUCACAAGAAUGUUGCGUGCCCAGUACUCUGAGCUCAUUCAGCCACGCUGCACUGACGGGACGGGCCAGGACUCACCGAAGAUGUCUGCUGGUCAAAUGCUCCUGGUGGCCUUUGAUGGAAUGUUCACUCAGUUAGAGACCGCCUUCGGACAGCUCACUGAAAAGUUGAGGUCACUGGAAGUGCCAUCAGCGUGGAGGAAGGUGGAUGUUAUGAGAGAAGCACGCGCUGCGCAGCUCCACUUCUUUGACAGUCUGGCUCAGCGGGAAGUGAUGGAGGAGGUUUUCUUCCUUAAAAGACUACAAACCAUCCGAGAUUUCUUCAGAAUGUGCUCCUGCUUUGCUCAGACACUAUCUGGGCCCCCUGGUGAUGAGCUGUCGAGCUCCAAUGGACCAGUCGGUUUAGGAAAACCGUUGUACCGGCAGACGAAUGCUACUGGCACGAGUGGGGCAAUAAUCAGUGAGGAACAAAUGACCCGCCCCAUCAAGGCCUUUACAGCUGAAUUUGUUUGGCAGAUGCUCAUGGGUCUGCCCAGCCAAGCUCUUGGGCUAGCCCUCUGCAGCACCCUGUCUGCUCUUGGGCUGGAUGUCGUUGCCCAGGUUGAGGCUAAAGAUUUCGGUGCAGAGAGCAAGGUGUCUUUGGACGAACUUUGUAAGAAAGCAGCAGAGCAGAACCUGGCAACCGGCCAUGUCUCCCAACUGCUGCUAAACAGAGUCACAGUGCUGGCCGCCUCUUACGACACAGCCUGGAAGAAGUUGGACCUGUUGCGAAGGUUGGAUGGCAACCUGGAUGCUGCAAAGGCCAGCCUACAGAGGAUUCAACUGCAUGUUGCCAUGUUUCAGUGGCAGCAUGAGGACAUCGUGGGUCCCAAUAAUCAGACGCUAAGUGUCAACAUUCCCCCUCGUGCAGUCAUCCUCAGCAACAUAAAAAAGAAGUUGUAUAAGCUCAGUCAGGAUGAGGGAGCCAUUGUUGCAAUUCAGGAGAAGCUUUCCUCACUGGAGGCUAGCAUUGAGCAGCGUCUUAAAUGGGCUGGGGGUGCAAACCCCGCACUGGCCCCAGUCCUUCAGGACUUUGAGAUGACCAUCAGGGAGAAACGUGCCACGGUGGCCAGGGAAAACCAGCGGGCAAGCCAGGUCACCUUCUUGUGUUCCACCAUCCUAAACUUUGAAGGCCUUCGCACCCGAUCCCCCGAGGCUCUCAACAUGGAUGCAGCCUUGUUUGAACUGUUGAAACGCUGCCAGCAGACAUGUUCUUACGCUGCCCAGUUUAGUAGCACAGUGUCUCCACUGGAGCUGGAACUAUUGCAGAGGCUGAGUCCGGUGCUGGACCUACCAAUAGGCAGCCCCGAUUGGCUGAGCUGUGCCCAGAGACGGCUGGAAGAGGAGCUUAGUUCAGAGCAGAGGAUGCAAGAAGAGCGUGAGCAGCAGCUGGAAUCCUGUGCUGAAACACAGCAACUCCUCGUCGACUCCAUUAAAACCAUUUUGUCCAGCCACAACCGCCAACUGGCUGAUGUCAAGCACCUCCUCCGAGCCAUGGCUAAGGAUGAGGAAGCGGCGUUGGCCGAUGGCGAAGAGGUGGCAUAUGAGGGCAGUGUUCGCCAUUUUUUGAUGGAGUACAAAGCAUGGCAGGACAACAUCCAGGUGGUCUUAUUCACUGUCAUCCAGGCCAGUGGGCAGCCACGUAAUCAGGAGCAACUCGAAUUGCUCGAAGAGAUCCCAACCACUGUGAAGGAGCUCCAGUCCCAGAGUCAGAGUGUAUAUAAUGGCCUAGUGGGCUUCGCCUCCCCACUGGUGACGGACAGAGAAAAUGACUGCGCCAGCCCUGUGUCAGCAGCCCAGACGAGCUUUGCAGCGGCUGUUCGAUGCAGCGGGUUGAAGACCCAGCCAGAAUCCAUGUCCCAGAAUGCACGGAAGGCCCUGCCACGUAACCUUGGAACCCCCACGGACACCCCACCCAGCACACUGAUGAACAGCAAAGGCCUGAACCCCAGCCCCAAAAGGGCUGUGCGAGACCCCAAAACAGGAAAAGUAGUUAAUCCUCCUGUAAACCUCCUUUGGCUGCAGCUGUCCAGGAGAGGAACUCGUAUGCUGUCAGUGUGUGGAAGAGAGUGAAAGCCAAGCUGGAGGGCAGAGACAUCGAUCCGAACCGGAGGAUGAGUGUCGCUGAGCAGGUGGACUUUGUCAUCAAGGACGCCACAAACAUGGACAACCUAGCCCAGCUGUACGAGGGCUGGACCGCCUGGGUGUGAACACGGCACCGGCGUCAUUCAUGUCUUUGGUCCAGUGACGGGUUAGAGAUCCACUAGAGUCCAGCGGGUCUUGGGUGUCGGAACAGCAGUACCAGGCUACACUGCGAGGAGGAAAAUGGAAAGCGGAAGCUUAGCCCGCCCUCCCGACCUCCUGGGCACCCACACCGGGCUAGCCCCCUCCACUCCCGCAAACAUAGGCGGGCCAACGCAACGCAUAGUGGGUCUGCCGCCCCACCUCCUUUUCUGGGGCCCGACCAGGCAAAGCUGCGCCGGAUCGGGGGAGGGGCGGGAAGGAGGGCAAACGCCUCCUCGCCGUCACCUGGGAGAUACCUUCCCCCCCUUACCUUUGCAGCCCACUAUCAAGUUGCACCCCAAACAUCACUGCAUCCUGUUGAGCUUGUUCAACUUCGCCUGAGUUCAGGAUUGAAGCAGGAAGUGAGCCGUUUCCCUCUGAAGUACACCGCCAUCAGGCUGUGGGUGGGACUUCACCGAGGGCCCAAAGCUCAUCAAUGGCUUGUUGGCGUAGCCCCCUCCACCCCCUGUUCUCUUGAAACUCUGCCUCAACGGGUAUGUGAUAUUGAUGGCCUGUGGGCCAGUUGGGCCGGAAUAAAAAGAAUGAAGGUUCCUCAGAAUUCUUCUGAAGACUGAAAUGGGAGGGGAAAUUGAUAAUCAAACUGUUCUUUGAUUGAUCAAAGCAUCAUUAGACUUGACCAAAUAAAAGAUUGUUAUUCGGAGUGAUUUGCUCGUCGGGAUGGUCCUUUGUGCUUUUGUAUGUCAAGCUGAAGCACCAAGUCACACGUGACAGUAAAGUGUGAAUUUAUUUAGAGGAGACAUAACCUCCAGGAAAUAUUUCUUCUGUGUGCAUCUUACUUAGUCUGUGUUGUGCUUUGUAACAUAUUGACUCUUCUUUACAAAUAACCAAGUGUAGACUGUUGCUGCCUUUUUUGACUAGCCUACGUAGAAGUUCUUACUUUCCUUAUUAGUCGUAACUACCUUAGCCCUAAUGAUUGUAUUUUAUUCAUCUGGACUUUCUAGUUUUACAUUUUUAGUGGGAGAUAUGAUGCUUUUGGGUGAUGGUGAAAAUGUUUUCUUAAAGAUUUUACUCUCUUUGUUUGACUCCAAAUAAAUGUUGAAUUCAUGUC